AGAACACCGGUUCUCAUUCGAUCACCGAAGUUAAGCAUCGUAGAGCCAGGUCAGUACUUAGAUGGGGGACCACUUGGGAACACCUGGUACUGUAAG
This 96-nucleotide ribosomal RNA is filed under the name Acanthosepion pharaonis. Lineage: Eukaryota; Metazoa; Mollusca; Cephalopoda; Sepiida; Sepiidae. The record is from RNAcentral.